This 421-nucleotide long non-coding RNA is filed under the name Corvus moneduloides (New Caledonian crow). Its description in RNAcentral is "lncRNA (ENSCMUG00000017474.1)". The record is from RNAcentral. Lineage: Eukaryota; Metazoa; Chordata; Aves; Passeriformes; Corvidae.
UUCAUAUUGUGCUGCCUCUUGACGCAUACCAAGCUGCUCAAGCUUGCCAAGAUUUUUCAAAUGUACUUCUGACAUUUCAGUGCAGCGUAUACCUAGAUUCAAAUGAAAGACCAACAAAAUGACAGUGACCUUUUCUCUUACUGAAGUACUGAAGAGUUAAACAUGCAGCGAGAGAACUGAGGGGCCCUCAAGCAUCUUAAUUAACAAAGUCACACCAGCUAAAAGUUUUCAACGAAUUUAAACUCUGGCAAGUUUGGAGAACUGUAAAAUUCUUUUCUUAUCAUUCUGAAUGCUGAAUAUCUUAAAGGAUUUACUUUACAACUAAUUUUAAAAUCUAAGCUAAAUUAUUUACUCUGAAUCUCUGAGGUGAUUUUGUGAACAUGGAGGCAUCCAUUUGGGAACAAAGAUGUUGACUUCAUCC